UACGAAGGGGGCUAGCGUUGUUCGGAAUUACUGGGCGUAAAGCGCGCGUAGGCGGUUUUGCAAGCCAGAGGUGAAAUGCCUGAGCUCAACUUAGGAAUUGCCUUUGGGACUGUGAGGCUUUGAGGACGGAAGAGGUGAGUGGAAUUCCCAGUGUAGAGGUGAAAUUCGUAGAUAUUGGGAAGAACACCGGUGGCGAAGGCGGCUCACUGGUCCGUUUCUGACGCUAAAGCGCGAAAGCGUGGGGAGCGAACAGG
Molecule: ribosomal RNA, 254 nt
Filed under: uncultured bacterium
Lineage: Bacteria
Description: partial 16S ribosomal RNA
Rfam family: Bacterial small subunit ribosomal RNA
Source: RNAcentral